Molecule: ribosomal RNA, 498 nt
Filed under: uncultured bacterium
Lineage: Bacteria
Description: partial 16S ribosomal RNA
Rfam family: Bacterial small subunit ribosomal RNA
Source: RNAcentral
AGCGAACGCUGGCGGCGUGCCUAACACAUGCAAGUCGAACGUGAAAAGGGAAACCUGUGUUAGGUGGCGUACGGGUGAGUAACGCGUAGGUAAUCUACCCCAGAAUCGGGAAUCACCUGCCGAAAGGCGGGCUAACACUGGAUAGAGCGAGGGAACUCGUAAGAGAGUUUUUCGGGAAAGGGAGCCCGCAAGGGCCUUCGCUCUGGGAUGAGCCUGCGUCUCAUUAGCUAGUUGGUAAGGUAACGGCUUACCAAGGCGAUGAUGAGUAGCUGGUCUGGGAGGGUGGACAGGCACAAUUGAACUGAAGCACGGGCCCGACUCCUAAGGGGAGCAGCAGUGGGGAAUCUUGCGCAAUGGACGGAAGUCUGACGCAGCCACGCCGCGUGGGUGAAGAAGGCCUUCGGGUUGUAAAGCUCUGUCGGAUGGGAAGAACAGCGUCAUAGUGAAUAGCUAUGAGCUCUGACGGUACCAUCAAAGGAAGCACCGGCUAACUCCGUG